This 29-nucleotide small RNA is filed under the name Bombyx mori (domestic silkworm). RNAcentral describes it as "ovarian small RNA-14957". The record is from RNAcentral. Lineage: Eukaryota; Metazoa; Arthropoda; Insecta; Lepidoptera; Bombycidae.
CUGGGUGAUGGCCCACGUGCAACUGCAGG